RNAcentral lists this unclassified non-coding RNA (228 nucleotides) under Hevea brasiliensis (rubber tree). Lineage: Eukaryota; Viridiplantae; Streptophyta; Magnoliopsida; Malpighiales; Euphorbiaceae. The record is from RNAcentral.
UUUGGAGGAAUCAGAAUCCUUAGUCGCCCGCAAAUUCCAGUCCCCUUCCCAGAUCCCGAUGGCGAUUACACCAUUCUUAUUGGAGAUUGGUACAAGUCUAAUCACACGGCUUUGAGGGCUCAUUUGGAUCGUGGUAAGAAGCUGCCUUUCCCUGAUGGAAUUCUCAUCAAUGGUCGCGGGCCCAAUGGUUAUGCACUUACUGUUGAACAAGGAAAAACUUACAGGCUC